UAACGCGGUGGGCAACCUGCCUCAUACGAGGGGGAUAGCAUCGGGAAACGUGGUGGUAAAACCGCAUAAGCGCACGAAGACGCAUGUAUUCGUGUGAAAAGGAAGAAAUCUGGUAUGAGAUGGACCCGCGUCUGAUUAGCUAGUUGGAGUGGUAAAAGCACACCAAGGCGACGAUCAGUAGCCGGCCUGAGAGGGUGGACGGCCACAUUGGGGACUGAGACACGGCCCAGACUCCUACGGAAGGCAGCAG
This 250-nucleotide ribosomal RNA is filed under the name uncultured bacterium. RNAcentral describes it as "partial 16S ribosomal RNA". It matches the Rfam family "Bacterial small subunit ribosomal RNA", at positions 111 to 354 of the family's 1533-position model. The record is from RNAcentral.